This 253-nucleotide ribosomal RNA is filed under the name uncultured bacterium. Its description in RNAcentral is "partial 16S ribosomal RNA". It matches the Rfam family "Bacterial small subunit ribosomal RNA", at positions 524 to 776 of the family's 1533-position model. The record is from RNAcentral.
UACGGGGGGGGCAAGCGUUGUUCGGAAUUACUGGGCGUAAAGGGCUCGUAGGCGGCCAACUAAGUCGGAUGUGAAAUCCCCAGGCUUAACUUGGGAACUGCAUCCGAUACUGGAUGGCUUGAAUCCGGGAGAGGGAUGCGGAAUUCCAGGUGUAGCGGUGAAAUGCGUAGAUAUCUGGAGGAACACCGGUGGGGAAGGCGGCAUCCCGGACCGGGAUUGGCGCUGAUGAGGGAAAGCCAGGGGAGCAAACGGG